CAAGUCAAACGGGAUGUAGCAAUACAUUCAGUGGCGAACGGGUGAGUAACGCGUGGAUGAUCUACCUAUGAGAUGGGGAUAACUAUUAGAAAUAGUAGCUAAUACCGAAUAAGGUCAGUUAAUUUGUUAAUUGAUGAAAGGAAGCCUUUAAAGCUUCGCUUGUAGAUGAGUCUGCGUCUUAUUAGCUAGUUGGUAGGGUAAAUGCCUACCAAGGCAAUGAUAAGUAACCGGCCUGAGAGGGUGAACGGUCACACUGGAACUGAGAUACGGUCCAGACUCCUACGGGAGGCAGCAGCUAAGAAUCUUCCGCAAUGGGCGAAAGCCUGACGGAGCGACACUGCGUGAAUGAAGAAGGUCGAAAGAUUGUAAAAUUCUUUUAUAAAUGAGGAAUAAGCUUUGUAGGAAAUGACAAAGUGAUGACGUUAAUUUAUGAAUAAGCCCCGGCUAAUUACGUGCCAGCAGCCGCGGUAAUACGUAAGGGGCGAGCGUUGUUCGGGAUUAUUGGGCGUAAAGGGUGAGUAGGCGGAUAUAUAAGUCUAUGCAUAAAAUACCACAGCUCAACUGUGGACCUAUGUUGGAAACUAUAUGUCUAGAGUCUGAUAGAGGAAGUUAGAAUUUCUGGUGUAAGGGUGGAAUCUGUUGAUAUCAGAAAGAAUACCGGAGGCGAAGGCGAACUUCUGGGUCAAGACUGACGCUGAGUCACGAAAGCGUAGGGAGCAAACAG
RNAcentral lists this ribosomal RNA (724 nucleotides) under Borreliella burgdorferi (Lyme disease spirochete). RNAcentral's name for it is "bacterial SSU rRNA". It matches the Rfam family "Bacterial small subunit ribosomal RNA", at positions 58 to 775 of the family's 1533-position model. The record is from RNAcentral. Lineage: Bacteria; Pseudomonadati; Spirochaetota; Spirochaetia; Spirochaetales; Borreliaceae.